Molecule: long non-coding RNA, 615 nt
Organism: Camellia sinensis
Lineage: Eukaryota; Viridiplantae; Streptophyta; Magnoliopsida; Ericales; Theaceae
Source: RefSeq, a predicted model, not a curated record
GAGUAGAAAACACAAUCUAAGAGAGAAAGAAAAGGAAAUGAAUGCAUUCAUGUGCUUGUGCUGGAAAGAACAAAACUGAGAGGUAGAGAGAGAGUGAGAGAGAGAGAGAGAGAGAGACCAACUCUAUGUGCUGGAAUGGUGAAGGAAAAGCAAGGGGAAGCUUGGGAAAAGUGGAGAGUUGAAGAGAGACUCAAGAAAUUGCGAAGAAAUUCAUCCAAUUGAGGGUUUUGGGGUUAAACGCAAGGACGAAUCAAGCACCAGAACAUUGUGAUCAGGCACGUAACCAGGCUUAGAGGCGAGUGCCUGGAAUCUAUUUUUGGCAGCCAACUUAUGUGCCUCCUGUGGAGGUUCCAGUUAUGUCAAGUGGUUAUGACCAUAUGAUUAAAGUUCAAGUUUUGUUUUCUUGUUUGUUUAAACAAGUCUUUGUUAUUUUGUAAAUAGGGCUAAGUCCCAUUUUGUCUAAUCUGUAUAUAUGUAAUGACGCAAGAAUGAUGUCUAGACAUGUAUAUGAAAAUUUUAAAAUUUUCGGUUCCAUAUAAGUCUGUACAGCUCAAUGGAUGUUGUAUAUUUGUUAUUUGCUUCUGCAAGCCCCUAAUAUUAUGUUAUUCUGUCUCA